This 2904-nucleotide ribosomal RNA is filed under the name Escherichia coli. RNAcentral describes it as "23S ribosomal RNA". It matches the Rfam family "Bacterial large subunit ribosomal RNA". The record is from RNAcentral. Lineage: Bacteria; Pseudomonadati; Pseudomonadota; Gammaproteobacteria; Enterobacterales; Enterobacteriaceae.
GUUAAGCGACUAAGCGUACACGGUGGAUGCCCUGGCAGUCAGAGGCGAUGAAGGACGUGCUAAUCUGCGAUAAGCGUCGGUGAGGUGAUAUGAACCGUUAUAACCGGCGAUUUCCGAAUGGGGAAACCCAGUGUGUUUCGACACACUAUCAUUAACUGAAUCCAUAGGUUAAUGAGGCGAACCGGGGGAACUGAAACAUCUAAGUACCCCGAGGAAAAGAAAUCAACCGAGAUUCCCCCAGUAGCGGCGAGCGAACGGGGAGGAGCCCAGAGCCUGAAUCAGUGUGUGUGUUAGUGGAAGCGUCUGGAAAGGCGUGCGAUACAGGGUGACAGCCCCGUACACAAAAAUGCACAUAUUGUGAGCUCGAUGAGUAGGGCGGGACACGUGGUAUCCUGUCUGAAUAUGGGGGGACCAUCCUCCAAGGCUAAAUACUCCUGACUGACCGAUAGUGAACCAGUACCGUGAGGGAAAGGCGAAAAGAACCCCGGCGAGGGGAGUGAAAAAGAACCUGAAACCGUGUACGUACAAGCAGUGGGAGCCUCUUAAUGGGGUGACUGCGUACCUUUUGUAUAAUGGGUCAGCGACUUAUAUUCUGUAGCAAGGUUAACCGAAUAGGGGAGCCGAAGGGAAACCGAGUCUUAACUGGGCGUUAAGUUGCAGGGUAUAGACCCGAAACCCGGUGAUCUAGCCAUGGGCAGGUUGAAGGUUGGGUAACACUAACUGGAGGACCGAACCGACUAAUGUUGAAAAAUUAGCGGAUGACUUGUGGCUGGGGGUGAAAGGCCAAUCAAACCGGGAGAUAGCUGGUUCUCCCCGAAAGCUAUUUAGGUAGCGCCUCGUGAAUUCAUCUCCGGGGGUAGAGCACUGUUUCGGCAAGGGGGUCAUCCCGACUUACCAACCCGAUGCAAACUGCGAAUACCGGAGAAUGUUAUCACGGGAGACACACGGCGGGUGCUAACGUCCGUCGUGAAGAGGGAAACAACCCAGACCGCCAGCUAAGGUCCCAAAGUCAUGGUUAAGUGGGAAACGAUGUGGGAAGGCCCAGACAGCCAGGAUGUUGGCUUAGAAGCAGCCAUCAUUUAAAGAAAGCGUAAUAGCUCACUGGUCGAGUCGGCCUGCGCGGAAGAUGUAACGGGGCUAAACCAUGCACCGAAGCUGCGGCAGCGACGCUUAUGCGUUGUUGGGUAGGGGAGCGUUCUGUAAGCCUGUGAAGGUGGCCUGUGAGGGUUGCUGGAGGUAUCAGAAGUGCGAAUGCUGACAUAAGUAACGAUAAAGCGGGUGAAAAGCCCGCUCGCCGGAAGACCAAGGGUUCCUGUCCAACGUUAAUCGGGGCAGGGUGAGUCGACCCCUAAGGCGAGGCCGAAAGGCGUAGUCGAUGGGAAACAGGUUAAUAUUCCUGUACUUGGUGUUACUGCGAAGGGGGGACGGAGAAGGCUAUGUUGGCCGGGCGACGGUUGUCCCGGUUUAAGCGUGUAGGCUGGUUUUCCAGGCAAAUCCGGAAAACCAAGGCUGAGGCGUGAUGACGAGGCACUACGGUGCUGAAGCGACAAAUGCCCUGCUUCCAGGAAAAGCCUCUAAGCAUCAGGUAACAUCAAAUCGUACCCCAAACCGACACAGGUGGUCAGGUAGAGAAUACCAAGGCGCUUGAGAGAACUCGGGUGAAGGAACUAGGCAAAAUGGUGCCGUAACUUCGGGAGAAGGCACGCUGAUAUGUAGGUGAAGCGACUUGCUCGUGGAGCUGAAAUCAGUCGAAGAUACCAGCUGGCUGCAACUGUUUAUUAAAAACACAGCACUGUGCAAACACGAAAGUGGACGUAUACGGUGUGACGCCUGCCCGGUGCCGGAAGGUUAAUUGAUGGGGUUAGCGGUAACGCGAAGCUCUUGAUCGAAGCCCCGGUAAACGGCGGCCGUAACUAUAACGGUCCUAAGGUAGCGAAAUUCCUUGUCGGGUAAGUUCCGACCUGCACGAAUGGCGUAAUGAUGGCCAGGCUGUCUCCACCCGAGACUCAGUGAAAUUGAACUCGCUGUGAAGAUGCAGUGUACCCGCGGCAAGACGGAAAGACCCCGUGAACCUUUACUAUAGCUUGACACUGAACAUUGAGCCUUGAUGUGUAGGAUAGGUGGGAGGCUUUGAAGUGUGGACGCCAGUCUGCAUGGAGCCGACCUUGAAAUACCACCCUUUAAUGUUUGAUGUUCUAACGUUGGCCCGUAAUCCGGGUUGCGGACAGUGUCUGGUGGGUAGUUUGACUGGGGCGGUCUCCUCCUAAAGAGUAACGGAGGAGCACGAAGGUUGGCUAAUCCUGGUCGGACAUCAGGAGGUUAGUGCAAUGGCAUAAGCCAGCUUGACUGCGAGCGUGACGGCGCGAGCAGGUGCGAAAGCAGGUCAUAGUGAUCCGGUGGUUCUGAAUGGAAGGGCCAUCGCUCAACGGAUAAAAGGUACUCCGGGGAUAACAGGCUGAUACCGCCCAAGAGUUCAUAUCGACGGCGGUGUUUGGCACCUCGAUGUCGGCUCAUCACAUCCUGGGGCUGAAGUAGGUCCCAAGGGUAUGGCUGUUCGCCAUUUAAAGUGGUACGCGAGCUGGGUUUAGAACGUCGUGAGACAGUUCGGUCCCUAUCUGCCGUGGGCGCUGGAGAACUGAGGGGGGCUGCUCCUAGUACGAGAGGACCGGAGUGGACGCAUCACUGGUGUUCGGGUUGUCAUGCCAAUGGCACUGCCCGGUAGCUAAAUGCGGAAGAGAUAAGUGCUGAAAGCAUCUAAGCACGAAACUUGCCCCGAGAUGAGUUCUCCCUGAGACUUAGAGUCUCCUGAAGGAACGUUGAAGACGACGACGUUGAUAGGCCGGGUGUGUAAGCGCAGCGAUGCGUUGAGCUAACCGGUACUAAUGAACCGUGAGGCUUAACCUU